RNAcentral lists this ribosomal RNA (572 nucleotides) under Neonectria sp. O_1_LILB_26_5b. Its description in RNAcentral is "eukaryotic LSU rRNA". It matches the Rfam family "Eukaryotic large subunit ribosomal RNA", at positions 1 to 586 of the family's 3401-position model. The record is from RNAcentral. Lineage: Eukaryota; Fungi; Ascomycota; Sordariomycetes; Hypocreales; Nectriaceae.
ACCUCGGAUCAGGUAGGAAUACCCGCUGAACUUAAGCAUAUCAAUAAGCGGAGGAAAAGAAACCAACAGGGAUUGCCCUAGUAACGGCGAGUGAAGCGGCAACAGCUCAAAUUUGAAAUCUGGCCCUCGGGUCCGAAUUGUAAUUUGUAGAGGAUGCUUUUGGUGAGGUACCUUCCGAGUUCCCUGGAACGGGACGCCAUAGAGGGUGAGAGCCCCGUCUGGUCGGAUACCGAUCCUCUGUAAAGCUCCUUCGACGAGUCGAGUAGUUUGGGAAUGCUGCUCUAAAUGGGAGGUAUAUGUCUUCUAAAGCUAAAUAUUGGCCAGAGACCGAUAGCGCACAAGUAGAGUGAUCGAAAGAUGAAAAGCACUUUGAAAAGAGAGUUAAAAAGUACGUGAAAUUGUUGAAAGGGAAGCGCUCAUGACCAGACUUGGGCUUGGUUGAUCAUCCAGGGUUCUCCCUGGUGCACUCUUCCAGCCCAGGCCAGCAUCAGUUCGCUGUGGGGGAUAAAGGCUUUGGGAAUGUGGCUCCUCCGGGAGUGUUAUAGCCCAUUGUGUAAUACCCUGUGGUGGAC